Molecule: long non-coding RNA, 3288 nt
Filed under: Brassica napus (rape)
Lineage: Eukaryota; Viridiplantae; Streptophyta; Magnoliopsida; Brassicales; Brassicaceae
Description: long non-coding RNA (BNAP_LNC024736)
Source: RNAcentral
AGGCUGAGGAUGAAUGGGGAUUACCUGCGGUGCCACGUGCUUCACUUCGGGGUUAAAUUCACACUUUCUACUUGUGUGCAUACAAGAAUGUUCACCUCCAAGCGUUUGUUUUCACUUGUGAAAGCUACUAAUACGUUUUGUGCAUAACAGUCUCAUAAACCUUGGAUCCUCGAUUUGUUCAUGAGAAGCAGUGAUUUAGUUUUUUUUUUUUUUUCCAGUCACUUAUGUUUUGUGUUUGGUCCAUUAGUAAACUUUCAAGUAAUGAAAAGGUUAAAUGUUUGGUAUGUACUCAAUGGAAUCUUGUUCUGUUCAGGUUAGUUUUGUGUGUUUUCCUCUGUUUCUAGACAAGAACUCAUGUGGCUUUUAGCAGUUUUGAUGGAUGAUCAAGAAUCAUGAUAAAUAUCUCCAAGGCAAUUUGGAGUAAACUGUUUGGUCAAAAGGUUAAAGACACAUGUUCCCGUUUGGUAGAACGUAUACGAUACAAAAUUCUGUCCUUUAGAUGCUCUCACGUACCUUAAAAUUUUCAUGGUUUUCUAAAAACUUUUGUUAUAUUGUUUUUUUUUUUUUGUUGAGAGUUUUUAGAUUACCUGCAGAUAGAUAAUGGAAAUUUAUAAUGUGUGGAAUCAAAUAGAAUGUAACGUCAUAUUAUUGAUAUGUAAUCAUAUCAUUCACGCACUCAUUGUUGUAUAAAACUUAGAGUCUACAACGUCUAGUGACACUAAAUGUCGAAUAAUGAAAAGGAGUAGGGAGGAAGAACAAAAGUCAAGUUCCCCUCGGGCAUUACCCCUAAGCUUUCUUGUGGCGUAAUCUGCAGGAAACCAAUAAGAAAAAAUUGGUUUAGUAAUUAAACGAAUAUGAGGCCGGUACUGCAACCAGUCUUACCAUCUCUGGGUUGGAGAAGGAGUUCUCAUCCAUCACACUGGCAGAUGUAAGUACUUUCUUCUUUUUUGCAGAAGCUUUCGUGUUGCUCGAGUCCAAUCCAGUCAUCUUUACCUUCAGCUCCACUGUCACGUUUGCAAAGUUAACAGCCUGCAAAUAUAUAUAUAUGGAUAUCAACCCACAACAUUCAUUUUUCAAACUCAAAAUCUGUAAAAUAAUCACACUUGAGAAACAACACAAAACCUUAAUCUGUAUGUAAUCAGAGCCAUUGCUUUGGAAGGAUAUGGCAGAUGCUUCAACAUAAGAAGAGUUUCCCUCCAUAGUAGAGCUGAGAAGAGUUGCUCCACUUGACUCUGUGAAGAACUGUUGGACCCAAUAGCUUGGUGUUCAGCCGCCUAGGCACUACGGUCACUCUUCCGUAUCCGAUUUAUGCCAAAUUGCAUAGACUGCCUAAAUGACCGUGUAGCCGUCUAAUCGGCCGGCUAAUCUAUUUUUUUUAAUAAUAUUUUUAUUUGUUUAUUUGAUCUAAAAUUUUAUAAAUAUCAUUUAUAUUCAUAAUUUUGAUGAAAAUUAUACUAUAUUAAGUUUAUAUAUUCUAUCUGUAUGUUUUAUACAAUUUUAAACAUAAAAAUAUAUUAAUAUUAUACAUAAUUAAAGAUUAAUAUAUUUUAUAACGCAGUAAACCACAGGGCCCGUUCCCGAACAGGGGUAAAAGCUAUAUCGAGCUGCUGAAAAAAAAAAAAAAAGAAAGCUAUAUCGAGCUCUUGUUGUUGUCUUUCUAGAAGUCUUUUGUGUCUUGUCUGGAUUAAUUGAUUGUCGGAGAAGAUGAAGAGAAUAUUCGGUGCGAAAAACAACAAAGAGCCUCCACCGUCCAUUCAGGAUGCUUCUGAUCGGGUUUGCUUCUCUCUUUUCGAUUCCUUUUUUUGUUUCUUAUUAAUCAUUAAGAGGAAUGUAGAUAAUUAGGGAUUUGUUUCGAGAUUUAGAAGCUGGAUGAAGUGAAUAGGUAGAGAGAUUCAAGAGCUAUGCGAACUAGUAGUUGGAUCUUUAGAAUCACUAAAUGUAUUUUCGUGUUGUCUGUCAGAUCAAUAAAAGAGGAGAGUCAGUGGAAGAUAAGGUUAAGAGGCUUGAUGCUGAGCUUUGCAAAUACAAAGACCAGAUCAAAAGGACCAGACCUGGUCCUGCUCAAGAAGCUAUCAAAGCACGAGCUAUGCGAGUUCUCAAACAAAAGAAAAUGUAACGAGUCCAUAUCUUUGUAUAUGUGAAGUGUCUGCUUCUCUCUCAGUGGUUUAAUCAUCAUGUUUUUGGACUAGGUAUGAAGGACAACGUGACAUGCUGUACAAUCAGACUUUCAACCUUGAUCAAGUUUCUUUUGCUGCUGAAGGCCUCAAAGAUGCUCAACAAACUGUAUGUAUCAUCCAAUCACUUCUUCUUCUUAUCUUCCUAAAGAUAACUCUCGUGUUUUUUUCUCAUAUGAAUCUUAUGAUGCUUUAUCUACAUGAAUGUGGAUAAAUCUUAUAAAAACUUGAUUAAUUGCAGAUGACAGCGUUGAAAUCAGCUAACAAGGAGUUGAAAGGAAUGAUGAAAACCGUCAAGAUCCAGGACAUAGAUGUACGUCUUUAGAGUUAUGUUAUUCAAUCUCUCUUAUUAUUCCCUUCCUAGAUACUAUUCUUUUUGAUUAUGGAUAUUAUAAAUUGUAUCACAACAGAACUUGCAAGAUGAGAUGAUGGACUUAAUGGAUGUGAGCUCUGAAAUUCAAGAUUCACUGGGUAGGAGCUACAAUGUUCCUGAUGACAUUGACGAAGAUGACCUCAUGGGUGGUUAGUCCUUAAAAUCAUUUUUUUUGUGGGGGAUCAGUAGAAACUUAUUUGCCAUGUGUGUGUUGUGAAUUACAGAGCUUGAUGCACUUGAAGCUGACAUGGGAAACGAGACUGAAGCAGACGGAGUGCCUUCCUAUCUCCAACCCGACAAGGAACCGGAUCUUGAUGAGGAACUUGACUUACCUCCUCCCCCACCAGGAAGGACAACAACAACAGGAGCUCAACCUGAACGAGCUGCGCAAGUGAGUUUCACUCUCUAGCUCUUAUGUGGUAAGUUAUGAUGAAGAACAUUGUUUUUAUGUUUGUUUGCUGAUGAGAGAGAUUUUAUGAUGAAAACAGAAGGCUGAGGAUGAAUGGGGAUUACCUGCGGUGCCACGUGCUUCACUUCGGGGUUAAAUUCACACUUUCUACUUGUGUGCAUACAAGAAUGUUCACCUCCAAGCGUUUGUUUUCACUUGUGAAAGCUACUAAUACGUUUUGUGCAUAACAGUCUCAUAAACCUUGGAUCCUCGAUUUGUUCAUGAGAAGCAGUGAUUUAGUUUUUUUUUUUCUUUCCAGUCACUUAUGUUUUGUGUUUGGUCCAUUAGUAAAC